GAUGAACGCUGGCGGCGUGCCUAAUACAUGCAAGUCGAACGAGGUGCUUUUGUAGCAAUACGAAAGUAUCCUAGUGGCGAACGGGUGAGUAACGCGUUGGUGACCUACCCAAAGUGUGGGAUAACAGUUCGAAAGAACUGCUAAUACCGCAUGUGGUUAUCGGGUUUUAGAAACUGAUAACUAAAGGAGCAAUUCGCUUUGGGAGGACCUGCGUCCCAUCAGCUAGUUGGUGAGGUAAUGGCUCACCAAGGCUACGACGGGUAGGGGACCUGAGAGGGUGGCCCCCCACAAUGGAACUGAAACACGGUCCAGUACACCUACGGGUGGCAGGCUAGGUAGGGAA
RNAcentral lists this ribosomal RNA (343 nucleotides) under uncultured bacterium. RNAcentral describes it as "bacterial SSU rRNA". It matches the Rfam family "Bacterial small subunit ribosomal RNA", at positions 28 to 361 of the family's 1533-position model. The record is from RNAcentral.